UGAAAUAUAAUCUUCAGUCAUACUAGGUAUUUUUGGCACAGUGCAUUUGGAGACAUUCAGUAAGUGCGUCGGCCAACAUUUUGUUUCGCUCUUUCUUAUUCUCUUAUUGACCAAAAUGUAUGAACAGUGCUCAGUAGAAGGGAGUGCAAGUUGACUGCUCAAAGAGAACGGACGUUGCGGACGAGCAAUUUAUUUUAAAAGCUGGCCACCGGUAGAAUGCGUCAGCUCAUGUGGCUGAAAAGUUCACGGUUAAACUAACGACAUGUUGUGGAGUCAUUAACCAAAGUAUAGAAAUGCAAGUGCAUAUAGUCAGUUAGUGACGCAGUUUAAGCUGUGCUGCGUAGGCGUGCGUGUUUAAAAAUGCAUAUGCGCCAUAUAUGUUCGUGAUUGUGAUCAGGUGCCGGUAUAAAAGUGAUAUUACGUUAUAUAUGCAUGCAUGUACAAUUAAUUUUUUUUAUAUUUUGUUUUGUUUUUCAAUUCGUCAAUGGAUGCAAAUAAAAUGAGCCAGACGGUAUUUUUGGGCACAGUGCAAUUGGAAGCAUUCAGUGUGCGCCGGCGGCCAUCAUAUCUUUAGCUCUUCCUCUUUUAUUUUCUUGCUGAUCAAACUGCGUGAACAGUGCUCAUUAGAAGUGGGAUUGCUUAAAGAGAACGGGCGACGUGGAAGAGCGGUUUAUUAUUAAAGCCGAACGAAGCACAAACGGAUUAACACACAAGGAUUAACAUUAAAAUCAGGUG
Drosophila suzukii is the source of this 735-nucleotide long non-coding RNA. RefSeq lists it as uncharacterized. NCBI's taxonomy places the organism in Eukaryota, Metazoa, Arthropoda, Insecta, Diptera, Drosophilidae. The record is from RefSeq and is a predicted model, not a curated record.